Molecule: ribosomal RNA, 497 nt
Filed under: uncultured bacterium
Lineage: Bacteria
Description: partial 16S ribosomal RNA
Rfam family: Bacterial small subunit ribosomal RNA
Source: RNAcentral
GAUGAACGCUGGCGGCGUGCCUAAUACAUGCAAGUCGAGCGAACAGACGAGGAGCUUGCUCCUCUGACGUUAGCGGCGGACGGGUGAGUAACACGUGGAUAACCUACCUAUAAGACUGGGAUAACUUCGGGAAACCGGAGCUAAUACCGGAUAAUAUAUUGAACCGCAUGGUUCAAUAGUGAAAGACGGUUUUGCUGUCACUUAUAGAUGGAUCCGCGCCGCAUUAGCUAGUUGGUAAGGUAACGGCUUACCAAGGCAACGAUGCGUAGCCGACCUGAGAGGGUGAUCGGCCACACUGGAACUGAGGCACGGUCCAGACUCCUACGGGAGGCAGCAGUAGGGAAUCUUCCGCAAUGGGCGGAGGCCUGACGGAGCAACGCCGCGUGAGUGAUGAAGGUCUUCGGAUCGUAGAACUCUGUUAUUAGGGAAGAACAAGUGUGUAAGUAACUAUGCACGUCUUGACGGUACCUAGUCAGAAAGCCACGGCUAACUACGUG